CUGGCGGCAGGCUUAAACAUGCAAGUCGAAGGGCAUCUUCGGAAGUAGUGGCAGACGGGUGAGAAAAAAGUGGGAACGUGCCCUUCGGUUCGGAAUAACUCAGGGAAACUUGAGCUAAUACCGGAUACGCCCUUAUGGGGAAAGGUUUACUGCCGAAGGAUCGGCCCGCGUCUGAUUAGCUUGUUGGUGGGGUAACGGCCUACCAAGGCGACGAUCAGUAGCUGGUCUGAGAGGAUGAUCAGCCACACUGGGACUGAGACACGGCCCAGACUCCUACGGGAGGCAGCAGUGGGGAAUAUUGGACAAUGGGCGCAAGCCUGAUCCAGCCAUGCCGCGUGAGUGAUGAAGGCCUUAGGGUUGUAAAGCUCUUUUGUCCGGGACGAUAAUGACGGUACCGGAAGAAUAAGCCCCGGCUAACUUCGUGCCAGCAGCCGCGGUAAUA
Molecule: ribosomal RNA, 442 nt
Filed under: Methylorubrum thiocyanatum
Lineage: Bacteria; Pseudomonadati; Pseudomonadota; Alphaproteobacteria; Hyphomicrobiales; Methylobacteriaceae
Description: bacterial SSU rRNA
Rfam family: Bacterial small subunit ribosomal RNA
Source: RNAcentral